UAGAAAAGUAGCGAUUGGAACGGAUUGCUUGAGUUAAGGAAAAGGAUGUACGAGAGUCCGAGCAAAGAUGACCGUUUUCCAGGAUGGAAGGAUCAUGAAAAAGUUGCCAAGUGACAUGUUCCGUUCCAAGAAAGAAUCAGAUUUGGAACUGGAAGCGGGCAGUAGAAGAAAUUGACGAAAGGACUUUGUCUAAGAGGAAGCGGAUGGGAGGAAAAUCCUUUUUGUCAGUAUGGAAAAUCAGCAAGUUUAACAAGCCUAGUAUAUGAUGAAGCGAAAGAAUAUGAGUAUGGUAGGAAAUGAAAUGUGGUGAAAGAAA
This is a non-coding RNA of Schizosaccharomyces pombe (fission yeast), 316 nucleotides long. The record is from the annotation of a GenBank genome assembly. NCBI's taxonomy places the organism in Eukaryota, Fungi, Ascomycota, Schizosaccharomycetes, Schizosaccharomycetales, Schizosaccharomycetaceae.